RNAcentral lists this ribosomal RNA (406 nucleotides) under uncultured prokaryote. Its description in RNAcentral is "bacterial SSU rRNA". It matches the Rfam family "Bacterial small subunit ribosomal RNA", at positions 355 to 776 of the family's 1533-position model. RNAcentral also lists the same sequence under 1 other name. The record is from RNAcentral.
UGGGGAAUAUUGGGCAAUGGGGGCAACCCUGACCCAGCAACGCCGCGUGAAGGAAGAAGGCUUUCGGGUUGUAAACUUCUUUGACGAGGGACGAAGAAAUGACGGUACCUCGAAAACAAGCCACGGCUAACUACGUGCCAGCAGCCGCGGUAAUACGUAGGUGGCAAGCGUUGUCCGGAAUUACUGGGUGUAAAGGGCGAGUAGGCGGGAUAGCAAGUCAGAUGUGAAAUACCAUGGCUCAACUGUGGGGCUGCAUUUGAAACUGUUAUUCUUGAGUGAUGGAGAGGCAGGCGGAAUUCCUAGUGUAGCGGUGAAAUGCGUAGAUAUUAGGAGGAACACCAGUGGCGAAGGCGGCCUGCUGGACAUUAACUGACGCUGAGGCGCGAAAGCGUGGGGAGCAAACAGG